RNAcentral lists this ribosomal RNA (459 nucleotides) under uncultured bacterium. RNAcentral describes it as "SSU rRNA". It matches the Rfam family "Bacterial small subunit ribosomal RNA", at positions 26 to 518 of the family's 1533-position model. The record is from RNAcentral.
AGAAUCAACGCUGGCGGCGUGCCUAACACAUGCAAGUCGAUCGAGAAAGUGGAGCAAUCCAUGAGUAAAGAGGCGCACGGGUGAGUAACACGUGACUAACCUACCUUCGAGUGGGGAAUAACCUGGGGAAACCCGGGCUAAUACCGCAUAAUACCUACGGGUCAAAGGAGCAAUUCGCUUGAAGAGGGGGUCGCGGCAGAUUAGUUAGUUGGCGGGGUAAUGGCCCACCAAGACGAUGAUCUGUAUCCGGCCUGAGAGGGCGCACGGACACACUGGAACUGAAACACGGUCCAGACUCCUACGGGAGGCAGCAGUGGGGAAUUUUGCGCAAUGGGGGAAACCCUGACGCAGCAACGCCGCGUGGAGGAUGAAGUCCCUUGGGACGUAAACUCCUUUCGACCGGGACGAUUAUGACGGUACCGGAUGAAGAGCCCCGGCUAACUUCGCGCCAGCAGCCGC